AUCUCUGACACCUUUCAACUUUAAAUCCAGUUUGAUUCGUUGUCAAUGGACAAUCCUCCACCUCUGAGAAGCUUUCUAUGAUUACUUCAGAUGAAGGACUCAGCAAGAACUAGGCACUCUGCAACCCAGAAGAGAGUUCUCGCCAGAAACCAAUCAUGCUGGCACUUGGAUCUAGGACUUCAAGCUUCCAGAAAUUUGUGGAAUAAGUUUCUGCUGUUUAUAAGCCACCAAGUCUAUGAUAAUGUGUCAGAGGACUGAGCUAAGACAUAAAGUGAGCUAGAGUUAAGAUUUAAGAUCUAUUUGUUACAAUAAAAUUCAAAAUAGUCGUAUAAAUGUUUAAAUGCAACAUCUCAAAAAUCGUAACAUGUUCUUACAUUUAGAGAAUUAGUACAGAAAUAUUAAGUCAACAAAAUUUCUAACAUUAAAUUGAUGUCUACUUGUUA
Long non-coding RNA from Homo sapiens (human), 443 nucleotides. RefSeq lists it as uncharacterized. NCBI's taxonomy places the organism in Eukaryota, Metazoa, Chordata, Mammalia, Primates, Hominidae. The record is from RefSeq and is a predicted model, not a curated record. The transcript is spliced from 2 exons.